This 403-nucleotide ribosomal RNA is filed under the name bacterium. RNAcentral's name for it is "partial 16S ribosomal RNA". It matches the Rfam family "Bacterial small subunit ribosomal RNA", at positions 355 to 776 of the family's 1533-position model. The record is from RNAcentral.
UGGGGAAUAUUGCACAAUGGGGGAAACCCUGAUGCAGCGACGCCGCGUGAACGAAGAAGGUAUUCGUAUCGUAAAGUUCUGUCCUAUGGGAAGAUAAUGACAGUACCAUAGAAGAAAGCUCCGGCUAAAUACGUGCUAGCAGCCGCGGUAAUACGUAUGGAGCGAGCGUUGUCCGGAAUUAUUGGGCGUAAAGGGUACGCAGGCGGUUUAAUAAGUCGAAUGUUAAAGAUCGGGGCUCAACCCCGUAAAGCAUUGGAAACUGAUAAACUUGAGUAGUGGAGAGGAAAGUGGAAUUCCUAGUGUAGUGGUGAAAUACGUAGAUAUUAGGAGGAAUACCAGUAGCGAAGGCGACUUUCUGGACACAAACUGACGCUGAGGUACGAAAGCGUGGGGAGCAAACAGG